This is a long non-coding RNA of Xenopus laevis (African clawed frog), 519 nucleotides long. RefSeq lists it as uncharacterized. The record is from RefSeq and is a predicted model, not a curated record. The transcript is spliced from 3 exons. Lineage: Eukaryota; Metazoa; Chordata; Amphibia; Anura; Pipidae.
CAGUAAAUCAGCUCCCCCCCCCAGACACUCUCUACUAAAGCAAUGUUUUGGGCUUUGUAAGUGUCAAGGCUUAAGAAGAGGCAACAUUCGGUUCUCUUACCAGUGAUUUCAGAUCGAUACCCCAUGUAAUACAAUUAUCUGCAAUGAUCUGGUUGUAUUGAAAAAGAAUUUGCAGUAGACCUCUAGGGGUUUUAUCUGGAAACGAGUAUCUGGCUAUGCUGUGAAUGGGAAAGCAGAAACAUAAGGCACUGACAUUGAUGAUCUAAAUGAAAACUCAAGGCAAUCAAGGCAAGUUAUUUACACUGAAUGGAAAAUACAGGUGACUACAGCAAAGCUAAAAUGGUAAUUCUAGUUGGAAACCCCUCUUUCUCUCGCCCAGAGAUGUUUGUUAGCACCUUAAAAAAUAUUAUAUCCAGGAUUCGGUUCAGGAUUCUGCCAGGAUUCAGUCUUUUUUCAGCAGGAUUUAGAUUCGCCCGAAUCCUUCUGCCUGGCCGAACCUAAUGCUAAUUUGAAUAUGCA